GGCAGCCGCGGUAAUUCCAGCUCCAAUAGCGUAUAUUAAAGUUGUUGCAGUUAAAAAGCUCGUAGUUGAAUUUCGGGAUCAAUAUUUCGGUCAUGCCGUUGGUAUGCACUGUUAUCAUUGAUUUCUCACCUUCUAAAGAACCGUAAUGCCAUUAAUUUGGUGUUACGGGGAAUUAGGACUGUUACCUUGAAAAAAUUAGAGUGUUUAAAGCAGGCUCACGCUUGAAUACAUUAGCAUGGAAUAAUGAAAUAGGACAUCCGAUUCUAUUUUGUUGGUUU
This 278-nucleotide ribosomal RNA is filed under the name Glomeromycota sp. Its description in RNAcentral is "partial small subunit ribosomal RNA". It matches the Rfam family "Eukaryotic small subunit ribosomal RNA", at positions 569 to 851 of the family's 1831-position model. The record is from RNAcentral. Lineage: Eukaryota; Fungi; Glomeromycota.